CGGACCGGCGCACGGUGAGUAACGCGUAUGCAACCUACCUAUCAGAGGGGAAUAACCCGGCGAAAGUCGGACUAAUACCGCAUAAAACAGGGGUUCCACAUGGAAAUAUUUGUUAAAGAUUUAUCGCUGAUAGAUGGGCAUGCGUUCCAUUAGAUAGUUGGUGAGGUAACGGCUCACCAAGUCUACGAUGGAUAGGGGUUCUGAGAGGAAGGUCCCCCACACUGGUACUGAGACACGGACCAG
This 243-nucleotide ribosomal RNA is filed under the name uncultured bacterium. RNAcentral describes it as "partial 16S ribosomal RNA". It matches the Rfam family "Bacterial small subunit ribosomal RNA", at positions 91 to 334 of the family's 1533-position model. The record is from RNAcentral.